AAACAGUCCUCAACCACGUGCCUCUCUGUCUGAACUCCUCUGCCACAUACACACACGUUCUUCAAAGGAAGGCGGCCACGACCUCGUCUAUUCCAACGGCCGGUUUCUACGGACCACUCGAAGACAGCCAAUCACGAUACGCCUCUUGUGACGUCACGAGAAGUAGACCAAAUAUAGUUUUUCUAUUCCUGACGUCACCUACACUUCAUAUUUUCCUUAUGACGUCAGGAGCCUCGCGUGUCAGGUGCUUCGUGUCGCUGGUGUGAGGCUUCGAGUCAAGGAGCCAAGGCAGUGAAGCUUACACCACCCUCAGUUCCGGCGGGCGUGGCGUGUGGUGCGGCUGUGUCAGAUUCUGUGGCGUCAUGCUAUUGUUGGUGAACUUGAGACAGGACUGGCUUGCUUACGCGUGUUCCCAGCUGGUGUGUUGACGAGGUCUCCUCCGCCCAGCCCCGCUCCUGUCCCGUCCAGCCCCGCCCUGCCCCGUCCUGCCCCGCCCCGCCCCGUCUCUCCCUACUGGUUAAAAAGACAAAUCCAACGCCUUAACCUCAGUGCGCACAACAUACCAAGCCUUGGAGUCCACCAGCAGACGCAAACACCACCACCACCACCACCACCACCACCACCACUCCAUUCACAUAAGCCAGUGGUUUCCAAACUCGGGGACAGUUUAACAAUUUUUCGGUGGUAAUGGAGAGGUGAUAAAAAAGGUUAACAAACGUGAAAAUGAAGAAAACCUUGUAGUACCUGGCAUUAGGAUUAAUGUUAACUUUGUCUUAGUAUGCAAAGCUGUAUAGUAAACCUAUUAUGAAUAGUUAUUUAUUAUAAAUAUUUUUUGUUUAUUAUGAUAAUCAUUAAAAAUUCUUGACAUCUUUGGCAAUAGUUACCAGAGAUACACAAUGUUUAAAUGAAAUAAACAAAAGAAAAUGUC
This 928-nucleotide long non-coding RNA is filed under the name Portunus trituberculatus (swimming crab). RNAcentral's name for it is "uncharacterized LOC123510426, transcript variant X2". The record is from RNAcentral. Lineage: Eukaryota; Metazoa; Arthropoda; Malacostraca; Decapoda; Portunidae.